RNAcentral lists this ribosomal RNA (114 nucleotides) under Rhizobium sp. NXC14. Lineage: Bacteria; Pseudomonadati; Pseudomonadota; Alphaproteobacteria; Hyphomicrobiales; Rhizobiaceae. The record is from RNAcentral.
GGCUUACGCCUGCCAGCUUCUCAAACAACAAGUUGCGCUUUGCCGACCUGGUGGUUAUGGCGGGGUGGCUGCACCCGUUCCCUUUCCGAACACGGCCGUGAAACGCCCCUGCGC